GCUGGUGUGGUGUGGUGUAGUGGUUAGCAUAUCUGACCGGAAAUCAGAAGACCCAGGUUCGAUUCCUGGCGUCAGCA
Non-coding RNA from Ornithodoros turicata, 77 nucleotides. The record is from the annotation of a RefSeq genome assembly. Lineage: Eukaryota; Metazoa; Arthropoda; Arachnida; Ixodida; Argasidae.